Molecule: ribosomal RNA, 711 nt
Filed under: Gastrophryne carolinensis (eastern narrow-mouthed toad)
Lineage: Eukaryota; Metazoa; Chordata; Amphibia; Anura; Microhylidae
Description: partial 12S ribosomal RNA
Rfam family: Bacterial large subunit ribosomal RNA (bases 1-507)
Source: RNAcentral
UAGAAAUUAAAUAAAAAUUAAGCACAACAAAGCAGAGACUCCCCUCGUACCUUUUGCAUCAUGGUUUAGCUAGUCAAACCAAGCACAAAGAAUUUUAGUUUGACCUCCCGAAACUAGGUGAGCUACUUCAAAACAGCCUAUCAAGGGCCAACCCGUCUCUGUUGCAAAAGAGUGGGAAGAUUUUCAAGUAGAGGUGACAGACCUACCGAACCUAGAGAUAGCUGGUUAUUUAGGAAAAGGAUUUUAGUCCUACCUUAAGUUCUUCCUUUAUUAAUAAAACAACUCCGAACUUAAGAGCUAUUCAAACAAGGUACAGCCUGUUUGAAACAGGGAACAACCUCAAAAAUAGGGUAACUCCAAAUGACAGGUGUCCAAGUGGGCCUAAAAGCAGCCAACUUUAAAAAAGCGUUACAGCUUCCUCACCAGUCACUUUAAUACCAAAAACACUACAUAACCCUCACCCAGUACUAAAUAACUCUAUACCCCUAUAGAAAUUAUUAUGCUAAAACUAGUAACAUGAAGAAGCCCUUCUCCUAAAUGUGCAUGUACGCCAAAAAGAACAAUUCAUUGGCAUUUAACGCUACUGACCCUAAAGCAACAACUAUACAAGAGAAUCUUGCUAACACCAACGUUAACCUAACACAAGAACAUUUCAGGAAAGAUUAAAAGAGGUGGAAGGAACUCGGCAAAUUUUAACCCCGCCUGUUUACC